GAUGAACGCUGGCGGCGUGCCUAAUACAUGCAAGUCGAGCGAACGGACGAGAAGCUUGCUUCUCUGAUGUUAGCGGCGGACGGGUGAGUAACACGUGGAUAACCUACCUAUAAGACUGGGAUAACUUCGGGAAACCGUAGCUAAUACCGGAUAAUAUUUUGAACCGCAUGGUUCAAAAGUGAAAGACGGUCUUGCUGUCACUUAUAGAUGGAUCCGCGCUGCAUUAGCUAGUUGGUAAGGUAACGGCUUACCAAGGCAACGAUGCAUAGCCGACCUGAGAGGGUGAUCGGCCACACUGGAACUGAGACACGGUCCAGACUCCUACGGGAGGCAGCAGUAGGGAAUCUUCCGCAAUGGGCGAAAGCCUGACGGAGCAACGCCGCGUGAGUGAUGAAGGUCUGCGGAUCGUAAAACUCUGUUAUUAGGGAAGAACAUAUGUGUAAGUAACUGUGCACAUCUUGACGGUACCUAAGCAGAAAGCCACGGCUAACUACGU
RNAcentral lists this ribosomal RNA (496 nucleotides) under uncultured bacterium. Its description in RNAcentral is "partial 16S ribosomal RNA". It matches the Rfam family "Bacterial small subunit ribosomal RNA", at positions 28 to 506 of the family's 1533-position model. The record is from RNAcentral.